Molecule: RNA transcript, 2658 nt
Organism: Emys orbicularis (European pond turtle)
Lineage: Eukaryota; Metazoa; Chordata; Testudines; Emydidae
Gene: GRAMD2A
Gene name: GRAM domain containing 2A
Exons: 13
Source: RefSeq, a predicted model, not a curated record
AGUCGCUGGGGAUGACGGCGCCGAGCCGCGGGGAGAGCGCGGGGCCGCCGCCCAGCACGAAGCCGGUGCAUGAAAAAGCAGCUUCCCUGAAGAGCUCUGAGCUCAUGCACAGCCAGGAGAAACUGGAGGUGUCUCAUAAGGAGAAGAGCUUGGAUGCCCUGGAUGGCAGUUUGCAUCUGAAUGAAGCUCUGAAGGAUGAAGAAAUAAAGAAAUGUCUCAGAGAAGCGACACCAAAUAAAUACAACUCGCAGUACCACAAGCUGUUCAAGGACAUCCCCACGGAGGAGAGUGUCUUGAAAGUCUGCUCCUGUGCGCUCCAGAGAGACAUCCUCAUCCAGGGGCGGCUCUACAUCUCCCCCAACUGGCUCUGCUUCUAUGCAAACCUCUUCGGGAAGGACAUCAAGGUGGUUAUCCCAGUGGUCUCGGUUCAAUUGAUAAAAAAGCACAAAACGGCCCGGCUGCUGCCCAAUGGGCUGGCUAUCACCACCAAUGCCAGCAGAAAGUACAUCUUUGUGUCCUUGAUCUCUCGAGACAGCGUGUACGAUGUGCUGAGGAGAGUCUGCACGCACCUACAGGUUUCAAGUAAGAAGAGUUUGAGUUUGAAAGAAUUCACAGAGGAACCUGAUUCCGUAUCCCUGGAGGUGAUCGUCCCAGAAGUGAAGUGGAGGAAGGUUUCCCCAGCAUCUCUCUCCCUAUCUCUCCCGGAUGCAGACUACCAGUGCAUCCACCGAGCGUCCAUCAGCAGCCUCAGCACCAAGGAGAGCUCUUUUAAUUCCGAGGAGCCCCUGGUAUCAGAAAGUGCAAUAAACACAGAAGAGGAGGAAUUGGAGGAAGAACCAAACUAUGUAGCAGAGCUGAGACCCUCUGAUUAUCAGCUCUUGAAAAUCUUCAUCGUACUGAUCUGCCUCCUGGUUGUGUCCUCGUCAUAUCUGGCAUUCCGGAUCUUCCGUCUGGAGCAGCAGCUCUGCUCUCUGAAUCGGGACUACCUCUCACGCGGGCACCGGAGGUGACCGUCGCCCCAGAGCUGUGGCUUACGAUGGACUUUGACAGGAAAAUAGCACUUUGUGUACAGAUCUCCAGGGCGUCCUACUGGUGAGCGUGUCUGCAAUAUCGAGAGAGUCUGAAUCCAGGAUUGCUCACUCUUUUAUUCCGCGUUACUUCUGGCUCGUGACACCUCCCUUUGCAAUGGCAAAACCCCACAUCCCUCCCUCCCUUGGCCCAUCGUGCUGUGGGAUCGGACUGGAGCCCAGCAGGCCAUCCAUGCAGCCACUUCUUCCAAGCGAUAGCCACCUGUUUGUACAAAACCCGCUGCCAAGCAUUGACUGUUUAUCAGAGUCUUGGGUGCAGCUUUGUUGGACGGCAGCUCGAGCUGCAUCUCCAGCCGGAUUCUGAGAGCAAGUAAGAACAGUUAGUAGCUCGAUGGUCCAGGAAUCAUUUCUGUUGAGCAUAGGAGGUGUCACAGCAGCAUGCAAUCUGCUGCGCCCUUGAUCAGCACACUUAGGACCAAAUACUGUUGUUCUUCUACCAGCAGAGACUCCUGCUCAAGCAGGGACAGACUGUCAGUAUAACCUGAGCUGCUGCCAGCAGGACUCCCCUUCUUUUCAAUGGGCGAGGGCCUGGUGCUAGUGAAACCACAUGUUCUUCCAGGGGCCUUGGCUUUGGCCCAGACACACGGUGCCCAGAGCCAAAUCACCAUGGUAGCGGGAGACUCUAGCACUAUGACACCAGCAUUGGGCCAUCGUCGCAUCCAUCGGACGGUGGCACAACAAACUACAGGACAACCGUGGACCUCAGUUAAGUGAGAAGCCCUGGUAGCAGAGACUGACCCUCCCUACAGAGCUCAGGAUGGGGGACACAGCUGGGGCAUGUUCUGUUCUCCCAGAACACACAUCCCACACUCAGCUAGUUCUCCUCAGGACGGAUUUCCUCUUGCCCUUCGGGGUUUCCACAUUACCCUUCCACACUGGGCCUUGGCCUAGCCGGGUCCCGAAAUGCAUCUCCGCUUAGGUGCCAGUGUUCAUACUCAGGCAAUAGCUCAGUUACAGUAGUUGUCAUAACAACUUUCAGUGUAAAAAUUACAGCUCCAGUGAGAUGCCAGACAGGAGUUAGAGGCCUCUUGGCCUGAUACCUGCUGAAGUCAGGUUCUUCAGGUGGCAAUAGCAGACUGUUAGUCGUGGGGAUUCUUGUGCAACUCACAUCCCCUGUGAGGCUAGUGUGCGCAGCAUAGAUCAUGCUUAACCGUCCCACAUCCCUUCCAAAACGUACCAUGGUCCCUGUGCCAGCAUUCCUUCAGGGCAGAAGAGAGGUGAAAAUAAAGGGAUAAGGUGGUUCGCUAACCCCAAAGCCCAGCCCCACCCAGCGCUAUGCAGAGUACGUGCCAUACUGUAAUAAUACUCUGCUGCACUGGGCAAUCCAGGGAAAGGGCAGCCCGCUCAUCCGCAAGCAGAUGCAAAGCUGCAAAGCAAGGCCGACCUGCACUGGGUAGAGUUUGGCAGUGGGGAGAUGAACAGGCUAGAAUUAGACCCCUCAUUCGGCUCCUUGAGGAGGCCAGAGGGACAGUUUAGAACCAGAUUCAGGAGGGCUCUGUUUGAAAGGCGUCUGCACUUUAAGGGAAAUACAGAGACUGGCCAGGAACCAGCAGUGCUGAGUCCAAACUUG